This 497-nucleotide ribosomal RNA is filed under the name uncultured bacterium. Its description in RNAcentral is "partial 16S ribosomal RNA". It matches the Rfam family "Bacterial small subunit ribosomal RNA", at positions 28 to 507 of the family's 1533-position model. The record is from RNAcentral.
GAUGAACGCUGGCGGCGUGCCUAAUACAUGCAAGUCGAGCGAACAGAUAAGGAGCUUGCUCCUUUGACGUUAGCGGCGGACGGGUGAGUAACACGUGGAUAACCUACCUAUAAGACUGGGAUAACUUCGGGAAACCGGAGCUAAUACCGGAUAACAUAUUGAACCGCAUGGUUCAAUAGUGAAAGGCGGCUUUGCUGUCACUUAUAGAUGGAUCCGCGCCGUAUUAGCUAGUUGGUAAGGUAACGGCUUACCAAGGCAACGAUACGUAGCCGACCUGAGAGGGUGAUCGGCCACACUGGAACUGAGACACGGUCCAGACUCCUACGGGAGGCAGCAGUAGGGAAUCUUCCGCAAUGGGCGAAAGCCUGACGGAGCAACGCCGCGUGAGUGAUGAAGGUCUUCGGAUCGUAAAACUCUGUUAUCAGGGAAGAACAAAUGUGUUAGUAACUGUGCACAUCUUGACGGUACCUGAUCAGAAAGCCACGGCUAACUACGUG